AUUGAACGCUGGCGGCAUGCCUUACACAUGCAAGUCGAACGGCAGCACGGGCUUCGGCCUGGUGGCGAGUGGCGAACGGGUGAGUAAUACAUCGGAACGUGCCCUGUUGUGGGGGGAUAACCAGUCGAAAGAUUGGCUAAUACCGCAUACGACCUGAGGGUGAAAGCGGGGGACCGCAAGGCCUCGCGCAGCAGGAGCGGCCGAUGUCUGAUUAGCUAGUUGGUGGGGUAAAGGCCCACCAAGGCGACGAUCAGUAGCUGGUCUGAGAGGACGAUCAGCCACACUGGGACUGAGAGACGGCCCAGACUCCUACGGGAGGCAGCAGUGGGGAAUUUUGGACAAUGGGGGCAACCCUGAUCCAGCAAUGCCGCGUGUGUGAAGAAGGCCUUCGGGUUGUAAAGCACUUUUGUCCGGAAAGAAAACCUCUGCCCUAAUACGGCGGGGGGAUGACGGUACCGGAAGAAUAAGCACCGGCUAACUACGUGCCAGCAGCCGCAGUAA
RNAcentral lists this ribosomal RNA (501 nucleotides) under uncultured bacterium. RNAcentral's name for it is "partial 16S ribosomal RNA". It matches the Rfam family "Bacterial small subunit ribosomal RNA", at positions 29 to 523 of the family's 1533-position model. The record is from RNAcentral.